GUUAGAAGAGGUGUUUGUAGCUGUCAUACGACCAAAGAACACAGCCAGCCUCAACUCCAAAGAGUACCGAGCUAAAGCCUUUGAGAUUUUACUUAUUGAAGUUCCCCUGGAGGGAAA
Long non-coding RNA from Carassius auratus (goldfish), 117 nucleotides. RefSeq lists it as uncharacterized. The transcript is spliced from 2 exons. The record is from RefSeq and is a predicted model, not a curated record. NCBI's taxonomy places the organism in Eukaryota, Metazoa, Chordata, Actinopteri, Cypriniformes, Cyprinidae.